UGGGGAAUAUUGGACAAUGGGCGCAAGCCUGAUCCAGCCAUGCCGCGUGAGUGAUGAAGGCCCUAGGGUUGUAAAGCUCUUUCACCGGUGAAGAUAAUGACGGUAACCGGAGAAGAAGCCCCGGAUAACUUCGUGCCAGCAGCCGCGGUAAUACGAAGGGGGCUAGCGUUGUUCGGAUUUACUGGGCGUAAAGCGCACGUAGGCGGACUUUUAAGUCAGGGGUGAAAUCCCGGGGCUCAACCCCGGAACUGCCUUUGAUACUGGAAGUCUUGAGUAUGGUAGAGGUGAGUGGAAUUCCGGGUGUAGAGGUGAAAUUCGUAGAUAUUCGGAGGAACACCAGUGGCGAAGGCGGCUCACUGGACCAUUACUGACGCUGAGGUGCGAAAGCGUGGGGAGCAAACAGG
Molecule: ribosomal RNA, 404 nt
Filed under: Actinomycetes bacterium
Lineage: Bacteria; Bacillati; Actinomycetota; Actinomycetes
Description: Actinobacteria bacterium partial 16S ribosomal RNA
Rfam family: Bacterial small subunit ribosomal RNA
Source: RNAcentral